This 319-nucleotide long non-coding RNA is filed under the name Zostera marina. RNAcentral describes it as "long non-coding RNA (ZMAR_LNC005442)". Lineage: Eukaryota; Viridiplantae; Streptophyta; Magnoliopsida; Alismatales; Zosteraceae. The record is from RNAcentral.
UAUAUUACAAGUAUAGUCACAAUGUAUUACAAGUGAUCUCCCCCCUUUUACACUUCACCCCUAGGGGUAUUUAUACAACUUCCUAACAUGAAUCGACCUGAUGGAUCCGAUACACUUGGGACGCCUUCUUUGGGAUGUCAACUGCUCGAGUUAAUGGGUCCUUUCAGCCGGUCGGCCAAAUGUUCGUAGGGCUUAUGGGGCCGCCCGGACCAUUCGAACAGGUUAACGUCCUCGGAAUGACCUGGGCUUUCCACUGUUCGUCUUGCUGGGCCUAGGCUUCUUCGUGGGCCUGGGCUGGUAACUUGGGGGUACCAUCAAG